GUCUACAGCCAUGCUACCCUGAGCAAGCCCAAUCCCAUCUGAUCUCGGAAGCUAAGCAGGGUUGGGUUUAGUUAGUACUUAGAUGGGAGACCACCUAGGAAGACCAGGUGCUGUAGGCA
This 119-nucleotide ribosomal RNA is filed under the name Pteropus alecto (black flying fox). Lineage: Eukaryota; Metazoa; Chordata; Mammalia; Chiroptera; Pteropodidae. The record is from RNAcentral.